AUUGAACGCUGGCGGCAGGCCUAACACAUGCAAGUCGAGCGGAUGAAGGGAGCUUGCUCCUGGAUUCAGCGGCGGACGGGUGAGUAAUGCCUAGGAAUCUGCCUGGUAGUGGGGGAUAACGUCCGGAAACGGGCGCUAAUACCGCAUACGUCCUGAGGGAGAAAGUGGGGGAUCUUCGGACCUCACGCUAUCAGAUGAGCCUAGGUCGGAUUAGCUAGUUGGUGGGGUAAAGGCCUACCAAGGCGACGAUCCGUAACUGGUCUGAGAGGAUGAUCAGUCACACUGGAACUGAGACACGGUCCAGACUCCUACGGGAGGCAGCAGUGGGGAAUAUUGGACAAUGGGCGAAAGCCUGAUCCAGCCAUGCCGCGUGUGUGAAGAAGGUCUUCGGAUUGUAAAGCACUUUGAGUUGGGAGGAAGGGCAGUAAGUUAAUACCUUGCUGUUUUGACGUUACCAAAAGAAUAAGCACCGGCUAACUUCGUG
Molecule: ribosomal RNA, 484 nt
Filed under: uncultured bacterium
Lineage: Bacteria
Description: partial 16S ribosomal RNA
Rfam family: Bacterial small subunit ribosomal RNA
Source: RNAcentral